This is a long non-coding RNA of Hipposideros armiger (great roundleaf bat), 505 nucleotides long. RefSeq lists it as uncharacterized. The record is from RefSeq and is a predicted model, not a curated record. The transcript has 2 exons. Lineage: Eukaryota; Metazoa; Chordata; Mammalia; Chiroptera; Hipposideridae.
CCAUCGCGGGGCUCCCACGUGGGCAAUGGACGGGGAGUAGGGCCCAAUGUGAGCUCUGGGCAGCAGCUGCUCCCAAGAGGAAAACAACGAGCAGCAAGACUGAGCCUGCCCAUCUCCUGCUCCAAAAGUCGCCAAUCAGGACGUGUAGCUCCAAGGCUGAUGUGGAAGGAGAGUGGAGAAUAGAGGUUCACAAACAUAUCCCAUUGGACAGCAUGUAGUCACACGGUCCCAUGUAACUGCAAGGACGUCUGGCAAUUGUAGUCUAUGAGCCUUCAAAGAGGGGAAAAAUGGGCAUUGGUGAGUUCCAGCAGAGUCCGCCACAGAAUGUAAGCUCACAUAAACAAGGUGAUGCCUCACUAGCCUUGAAGAAAGUUUUUUCAACAGGCACAAAUGUUUAAAGAAAUAAAGACCGCUGAAAUGGAGAUGAUGACCCACCACAUAAAAUCAUUAGUGGCACCAUACUUAGCACACAAUAGGGCUCAAUAAAUAUCUAUUAAACAAUUUA